GGCAAAAUGACUCCGUAACUUCGGAAUAAGGAGUGACUUUAUAAGGGCAACCUUAUAAAGUUGUCACAAAAUCGGGGACAGCAACUGUUUAACAAAAACACAGGUUUCUGCUAAUUCGUAAGAAGAUGUAUUGAAACUGACGCCUGCCCAGUGCUGCAAGAUUAAAGGAAAAAGUCAUUUGGCUUUGACCCUAACUCCCAGUAAACGGCGGCUGUAACUCUGACGGUCCUAAGGUAGCGAAAUUCCUUGGCAUUUGAUUGGUGUCCUGCAUGAAUGGCGUAAUGACUGUCCUACUGUCUCCAACAUAAACUCAGUGAAAUUGAAUUUUUCGUGAAGAUGCGAAAUUCUUGCAGCUAGACGGAAAGACCCCGACACCUUUACUGCAAUUAUACAUUGUAAUAAGAUUUUUUUUGUGUAGCAUAAGUGGGAAGUUAUUUAAUAAUUCUUCGCGCAAGCGAAUAAAUUAAACAUCGUUGAAAUACCACUCUAAAAAUUUUUUAUUACUUAUUGUUUAAGACAGUGUAUAAUGGGUAGUUUGACUGGGGCGGUCGCCUCCUAAAGAGUAACGGAGGCGUACAAAGGUAAACUUAAGUUGAACUUUAACAACUUUAAAGCAUAAUAGUAUAUGUUUGCCUGACUGUAAGAUUGACAAAUCAAGCAGGGACGAAAGUCGGUUAUAGUGAUCCGAUGAUUCUGAGUGGAAAUGGUCAUCGCUCAACGAAUAAAAGGUACGUCGGGGAUAACAGGCUAAUCACCCUCUAGAGACCAUAUCGACGGGGUGGUUUGGCACCUCGAUGUUGGAUUAUCGCAUCCUGGAGCUGAAGACGGUUCCAAGGGUUUGGCUGUUCGCCAAUGAAGGCGGUACAUGAUCUGAGUUCAGAACGUUGUGAAACAGUUUGGUCCCUAUCUACUGUAAGUGCAAAAAAUUGAGAGGGGUAAACCUUAGUACGAGAGGACCGGGAAAAGUAAAUCCAUGGUGAAUCGAUUGUUAUACCAAUAGCAUAGUCGAGUAGCUACAUUUAUAAUAAAUAAUCACUGAAAGCAUCUAAGUGAGAAAUUAGCCUCAAUACAAAUUUUUUUUUAAAAUGUGAUAGACUAUCACAUCGAUAGGCCUAGUGUGUAAGAACUGUAAGGUUUUUAGCUAAUAGGUACUAAAU
This 1157-nucleotide ribosomal RNA is filed under the name Pseudo-nitzschia pungens. RNAcentral describes it as "partial Bacterial large subunit ribosomal RNA". It matches the Rfam family "Bacterial large subunit ribosomal RNA", at positions 1716 to 2906 of the family's 2925-position model. Lineage: Eukaryota; Bacillariophyta; Bacillariophyceae; Bacillariales; Bacillariaceae. The record is from RNAcentral.